Long non-coding RNA from Sorex fumeus (smoky shrew), 458 nucleotides. RefSeq lists it as uncharacterized. The transcript is spliced from 3 exons. The record is from RefSeq and is a predicted model, not a curated record. Lineage: Eukaryota; Metazoa; Chordata; Mammalia; Eulipotyphla; Soricidae.
GCCAGCAUGACCACCCAGAACUGCAGCACUUGGCCAGCGUGACCACAUGAUUCUUCCAUGUCAGCCUGACAGUAGCAUUUUCUCCUGAAAAGUGGAAGUUGCCAAAGGAAUUCUAUCAUCUCUUCAGUGGCAGCUGUGUUGUGUAUCUGAGGCCUUCACUUUUGGAAUCUCAUUCUAUUUGAGGCAAUACCAAGUGGUGUUCAUGGAAUCAGAUGGCAUUCCCUGGAUUGAAACCAGGUCUGAUACAUGCAAGGCAAAAUAACUACCUACUGAAGAAUCUCUCUGGCCCCUCCAAAUCAGUCUUAAGCUAUGUAUAAUUGUUAAAUGAAACUACUGAAUUUAAUAUAUUUUAAUUAAUUAUACUUUAUUUCAAUAAAAUAUCCCUAUUAAAUCUAUUUCUAUAAGUUUUUACAAAUGUAUAUUUUUAAAUAAAAGUUUCACGAAAAAUAAUGGAGAUA